CGGAGGGAUCAUUACCGAGUUUACAACUCCCAAACACAAUGUGAACCAUACCAAACUGUUGCCUCGGCGGGGUCACGCCCCGGGUGCGUCGCAGCCCCGGAACCAGGCGCCCGCCGGAGGGACCAACCAAACUCUUUCUGUAGUCCCCUCGCGGACGUUAUUUCUUACAGCUCUGAGCAAAAAUUCAAAAUGAAUCAAAACUUUCAACAACGGAUCUCUUGGUUCUGGCAUCGAUGAAGAACGCAGCGAAAUGCGAUAAGUAAUGUGAAUUGCAGAAUUCAGUGAAUCAUCGAAUCUUUGAACGCACAUUGCGCCCGCCAGUAUUCUGGCGGGCAUGCCUGUCCGAGCGUCAUUUCAACCCUCGAACCCCUCCGGGGGGUCGGCGUUGGGGAUCGGGAACCCCUAAGACGGGAUCCCGGCCCCGAAAUACAGUGGCGGUCUCGCCGCAGCCUCUCCUGCGCAGUAGUUUGCACAACUCGCACCGGGAGCGCGGCGCGUCCACGUCCGUAAAACACCCAACUUCUGAAAUGUUGACCUCGGAUCAGGUAGAAUACCCGCUGAACUUAAGCAUA
RNAcentral lists this ribosomal RNA (572 nucleotides) under Trichoderma koningiopsis. Its description in RNAcentral is "eukaryotic LSU rRNA". The stretch from base 199 to 352 matches the Rfam family "5.8S ribosomal RNA". The record is from RNAcentral. Lineage: Eukaryota; Fungi; Ascomycota; Sordariomycetes; Hypocreales; Hypocreaceae.